AGAGAUUGAACUGAAGAGUUUGAUCCUGGCUCAGAUUGAACGCUGGCGGAAUGCUUUACACAUGCAAGUCGAACGGCAGCACGGG
RNAcentral lists this ribosomal RNA (85 nucleotides) under Thiobacillus sp. 0-1251. Its description in RNAcentral is "partial 16S ribosomal RNA". It matches the Rfam family "Bacterial small subunit ribosomal RNA", at positions 1 to 78 of the family's 1533-position model. The record is from RNAcentral. Lineage: Bacteria; Pseudomonadati; Pseudomonadota; Betaproteobacteria; Nitrosomonadales; Thiobacillaceae.